AUCUUGCGGCCGGAUACCGGUUCCCGUAUCGCCCCACCAGGGGAUGCGGGAUUAAAAGGGAAUCCGGUGAAAGGCCGGAGCUGUUCCCGCAACUGUAUGCUCAGUCCCCUUAGGGGGAUGCCCGCUGCCAUCUUCAUUAGACCACUGUCUGUUUUUCGGACGGGAAGGCAGGCAGCCGGGACGCAAGCCAGGAGACCUGCCGUUUUCCGCAUUCAUUG
This 218-nucleotide non-coding RNA is filed under the name Robiginitalea biformata. Lineage: Bacteria; Pseudomonadati; Bacteroidota; Flavobacteriia; Flavobacteriales; Flavobacteriaceae. RNAcentral also lists the same sequence under 1 other name. The record is from RNAcentral.